This is a non-coding RNA of Plectropomus leopardus (leopard coralgrouper), 324 nucleotides long. Lineage: Eukaryota; Metazoa; Chordata; Actinopteri; Perciformes; Serranidae. The record is from RefSeq and is a predicted model, not a curated record.
AGCAGCAGCAGCAGGAGCCAGCUGCUCCUCCAGAGUCUCGUGUCAGCGAUGAAACAGACAGCAGCUCACUCCCACCAGAGUCUGAAAGGAUGUACAGCUGCACUUAUGACUUCAUAGCCAGGAACAGUAGUGAACUCUCAGUGCAGCAGGGGGAGACACUCGAGGUGGUUGAAUCGUCCAAGCGCUGGUGGAAGUGUCGUAAUCGUUUCAACCAGAUUGGAUUUGUUCCCUUCAACAUCCUGGAUCCCUUGACUCACAUAGACAGCCCCGUCACGCACACACCCCCUCGUGUAAGACACAAAAACACACAUGCACACACACAUG